GAUGAACGCUAGCGGCAGGCCUAACACAUGCAAGUCGAGGGGUAGAGUUAGCUUGCUAACUUGAGACCGGCGCACGGGUGCGUAACGCGUAUGCAAUCUACCUUAUACAGAGGGAUAGCCCAGAGAAAUUUGGAUUAAUGCCUCAUAGUAUUAUCGAGUGGCAUCAUUUGAUAAUUAAAGUUCCAACGGUAUAAGAUGAGCAUGCGUCCCAUUAGUUAGUUGGUAAGGUAACGGCUUACCAAGACUAUGAUGGGUAGGGGUCCUGAGAGGGAGAUCCCCCACACUGGUACUGAGACACGGACCAGACUCCUACGGGAGGCAGCAGUGAGGAAUAUUGGACAAUGGGCGCAAGCCUGAUCCAGCCAUGCCGCGUGCAGGAAGACGGUCCUAUGGAUUGUAAACUGCUUUUUANACAGGAANAACAUCUCUACGUGUAGAG
This 439-nucleotide ribosomal RNA is filed under the name uncultured bacterium. RNAcentral's name for it is "bacterial SSU rRNA". It matches the Rfam family "Bacterial small subunit ribosomal RNA", at positions 28 to 467 of the family's 1533-position model. The record is from RNAcentral.